Molecule: long non-coding RNA, 885 nt
Filed under: Equus caballus (horse)
Lineage: Eukaryota; Metazoa; Chordata; Mammalia; Perissodactyla; Equidae
Description: lncRNA (ENSECAG00000056453.1)
Source: RNAcentral
AAAAAAAAUCAGAAUUGUCCCAGGAGAACACCGAGUCCAAAGUCAGGAGCUUCCAAAGCAGCACAUAAGCAAGAAAGCUAGGCAAAGGUCAGGGGUCCCAGUGUGGGGUCAGGACGAAAAAGGACAGACAUAGGGUACCCUCCCUGCCAGAGACCAUCUACAGCCAGCCCCAAGGAGAGCAACGGCAAAAACGUGGGACCAAGCUACAGGGAGACACAGCUCAGAAGAUGAAAAAAAACUCUGGUUUUGCUCAAGGUCCACAAGCAAACAUUCUCUAUUUCAGUGUUAAAGGUCUUCUUAAAACUAAGGAGCAUGCCUUAGUUCUUUUAGUAAGUGCCAAAUGCUAUAACGCCUUUGAUUCAUUAUUCGGAGCAGACAUCUAUUUAUUCAGCAAGCACCCACCUACGUUGUUCUUGGGACUUUGCUAGGCAUCAGGGUCGCUGUAAGGAAAAGAGGAUGGAGACACAGAAGUGGAACAGCAACAGACAGAACUGGCUUGGAAUGUGACUUUCAUAUCCCUGGAAUGGUUUCAGACAUGGAUCUCCACCAUAACCAUGGCUUCCAGGACAAAGACAAAUGCUCUGUCUACUAGAACGCAGCUGAGAGGAUGCAAGGUCUGGAGCUGCUGCCACCAUCUUGCUACCCCAUGAAAUUUGAGACUAAAGAAAACACCACAGAAGACGAAACCAGGAAAUAGAGACCAAAUCCUGAAGACAUCGUUUGAGCUCUGAAUUCAGUACUGUCUGAAUAUCUACUCCCUAGACUUUUAAAUUAUAUAAGUCAAUACAUUUCUUUUUUUCUUAAACUGGUUUGAAUUCAGUUUUUUGUCACUUGCUACAGAAAAAUUUGUGUUUGAUUCAAGAUCCUUAAAAAGUUAGAUUUCUG